CCCGGGCCUUGUACACACCGCCCGUCACACCAUGGGAGUCGGUCGCUCCAGAAGUAGGAACCUCAACCGCAAGGAAAGGCCCUACCAAGGAGUGGUCGGUGACUGGGGUG
This 110-nucleotide ribosomal RNA is filed under the name uncultured bacterium. RNAcentral's name for it is "partial 16S ribosomal RNA". It matches the Rfam family "Bacterial small subunit ribosomal RNA", at positions 1373 to 1482 of the family's 1533-position model. The record is from RNAcentral.